RNAcentral lists this ribosomal RNA (253 nucleotides) under uncultured bacterium. RNAcentral describes it as "partial 16S ribosomal RNA". It matches the Rfam family "Bacterial small subunit ribosomal RNA", at positions 524 to 776 of the family's 1533-position model. The record is from RNAcentral.
UACGUAGGGGGCAAGCGUUGUCCGGAAUCAUUGGGCGUAAAGAGCGUGUAGGCGGUUCGGUAAGUCGGCUGUGAAAGUCCAGGGCUCAACCCUGGGAUGCCGGUCGAUACUGCCGGACUAGAGUUCGGAAGAGGCGAGUGGAAUUCCCGGUGUAGCGGUGAAAUGCGCAGAUAUCGGGAGGAACACCAGUGGCGAAGGCGGCGACCUGGGCCAAUAUUGACGCUGAUGCGCGAAAGCGUGGGGAGCAAACGGG